Molecule: transfer RNA, 72 nt
Filed under: Sus scrofa (pig)
Lineage: Eukaryota; Metazoa; Chordata; Mammalia; Artiodactyla; Suidae
Rfam family: tRNA
About the family: Transfer RNA (tRNA) molecules are approximately 80 nucleotides in length. Their secondary structure includes four short double-helical elements and three loops (D, anti-codon, and T loops). Further hydrogen bonds mediate the characteristic L-shaped molecular structure. tRNAs have two regions of fundamental functional importance: the anti-codon, which is responsible for specific mRNA codon recognition, and the 3' end, to which the tRNAs corresponding amino acid is attached (by aminoacyl-tRNA synthetases). tRNAs cope with the degeneracy of the genetic code in two manners: having more than one tRNA (with a specific anti-codon) for a particular amino acid; and 'wobble' base-pairing, i.e. permitting non-standard base-pairing at the 3rd anti-codon position.
Source: Rfam by way of RNAcentral
UCCCUGUUUGUCUAGUGGUUAGAACUCAGCACUUUCACUGCUGUGGCCCAGGUUCAAUCCCUGGUCUGGGAA